Molecule: ribosomal RNA, 447 nt
Filed under: uncultured bacterium
Lineage: Bacteria
Description: bacterial SSU rRNA
Rfam family: Bacterial small subunit ribosomal RNA
Source: RNAcentral
CGCCAGACUCCUACGGGAGGCAGCAGUGGGGAAUAUUGCACAAUGGGGGAAACCCUGAUGCAGCGACGCCGCGUGAGUGAAGAAGUAUUUCGGUAUGUAAAGCUCUAUCAGCAGGGAAGAAAAUGACGGUACCUGACUAAGAAGCCCCGGCUAACUACGUGCCAGCAGCCGCGGUAAUACGUAGGGGGCAAGCGUUAUUCGGAUUUACUGGGUGUAAAGGGAGCGUAGACGGCAUGGCAAGUCAGAUGUGAAAGCCCGGGGCUCAACCCCGGGACUGCAUUUGAAACUGUCAGGCUGGAGUGCAGGAGAGGUAAGUGGAAUUCCUAGUGUAGCGGUGAAAUGCGUAGAUAUUAGGAGGAACACCAGUGGCGAAGGCGGCUUACUGGACUGUAACUGACGUUGAGGCUCGAAAGCGUGGGGAGCAAACAGGAUUAGAUACCCCGGUAG